RNAcentral lists this ribosomal RNA (747 nucleotides) under uncultured bacterium. Its description in RNAcentral is "bacterial SSU rRNA". It matches the Rfam family "Bacterial small subunit ribosomal RNA", at positions 96 to 838 of the family's 1533-position model. The record is from RNAcentral.
CGGCGCACGGGUGCGUAACGCGUAUACAAUCUACCUUAUACUGGGGGAUAGCCUUUAGAAAUGAAGAUUAAUACCCCAUGGUCUAUAGAUAUGGCAUCAUAUUUAUAGUAAAGGUUACGGUAUAAGAUGAGUAUGCGUCCUAUUAGUUAGUUGGUGUGGUAACGGCACACCAAGACUACGAUAGGUAGGGGCCCUGAGAGGGGGAUCCCCCACACUGGUACUGAGACACGGACCAGACUCCUACGGGAGGCAGCAGUGAGGAAUAUUGGACAAUGGGCGAGAGCCUGAUCCAGCCAUGCCGCGGGCAGGAAGACGGCCCUAUGGGUUGUAAACUGCUUUUAUACAUGAAGAAACACUCCCUCGUGAGGGAAUUUGACGGUACUGUAAGAAUAAGGACCGGCUAACUCCGUGCCAGCAGCCGCGGUAAUACGGAGGGUCCGAGCGUUAUCCGGAAUCAUUGGGUUUAAAGGGUCCGUAGGCGGGCAGCUAAGUCAGUGGUGAAAGUCUGCAGCUCAACUGUAGAAUUGCCAUUGAUACUGGUUGUCUUGAAUUAUUAUGAAGUGGUUAGAAUAUGUAGUGUAGCGGUGAAAUGCAUAGAUAUUACAUAGAAUACCAAUUGCGAAGGCAGAUCACUAAUAAUAUAUUGACGCUGAUGGACGAAAGCGUGGGGAGCGAACAGGAUUUAGAUACCCUGGGUAGUCCCACGCCGUAAACGAUGGGAUACUAGCCUGUUUCGGACUUCGGGUC